This 73-nucleotide transfer RNA is filed under the name Dictyocaulus viviparus (bovine lungworm). It matches the Rfam family "tRNA". From Rfam's summary of the family: Transfer RNA (tRNA) molecules are approximately 80 nucleotides in length. Their secondary structure includes four short double-helical elements and three loops (D, anti-codon, and T loops). Lineage: Eukaryota; Metazoa; Nematoda; Chromadorea; Rhabditida; Metastrongylidae. The record is from Rfam by way of RNAcentral.
GCCUGGGUAGUGUAAUGGAUCAAUACGGUAGACUGGAUAUCUAUGAGUGCGGGUUUGAGUCUCACCUUAGGUU